RNAcentral lists this transfer-messenger RNA (301 nucleotides) under uncultured Bombella sp. RNAcentral's name for it is "Alphaproteobacteria transfer-messenger RNA". It matches the Rfam family "Alphaproteobacteria transfer-messenger RNA". From Rfam's summary of the family: Bacterial tmRNA, also known as 10Sa RNA or SsrA, is named for its dual tRNA and mRNA-like properties. Its role is to liberate the mRNA from a stalled ribosome. Lineage: Bacteria; Pseudomonadati; Pseudomonadota; Alphaproteobacteria; Acetobacterales; Acetobacteraceae. The record is from RNAcentral.
UAAAAUAUUUAUAUAAGUCGGUGCCGGAGGCUUCGGCCUUGGCUAUGGCGAUAAACGGUAGAUGAAAUAAGUGUAGUGGACCCGGGGGCAGUGCCCGGCGUCUCCACCAAAAAACCUAGUUUUGGGUGAUAUGGGGACGAAACAGGCUCGACACGCAUGGUAAAGAUCUACUCUUUGCUCGGCAUUGUACCACCGUCAUCGGGCUAAACUUACAAGUGCCAACGAUAACUCAGAGGUGCUCGCUGUUGCUGCAUAAGCGAUAAGCGCGGUCCGGGGGGCACCGGGCAACAGAAGCCCCCCA